GAACUGCGAUAAGUAAUGUGAUUUGCAGAAUUCAGUGAAUCAUCGAGUCUUUGAACGCACAUUGCGCCCCCUGGCAUUCCGGGGGGCAUGCCUGUCCGAGCGUCAUUGCUGCCCUUCAAGCCCGGCUUGUGUGUUGGGUCGUCGUCCCCCCCGGGGGACGGACCCGAAAGGCAGCGGCGGCACCGUGUCCGGUCCUCGAGCGUAUGGGGCUUUGUCACCCGCUCGAUUAGGACCGGCCGGGCGCCCGCCGGCGUCAAACCCCAAUCUUUCUAAGGUUGACCUCGGAUCAGGUAGGGAUACCCGCUGAACUUAAGC
Molecule: unclassified non-coding RNA, 315 nt
Filed under: plant metagenome
Description: partial contains 5.8S ribosomal RNA, internal transcribed spacer 2, and large subunit ribosomal RNA
Rfam family: 5.8S ribosomal RNA (bases 1-105)
Source: RNAcentral